CUCUAUUCUUUCCUCUUGGGCCAAGAUAGGGCUCAGAGAAAGAGAACUGCUAUUUUUAUAAAGUUUACAAUGUUUACAAAGUGUUUGACAUACAUUAUCCCAUAGGAUCUUCUCUAAAACCUCGUGAGAGGAGAAAAGGAAGAGUAAAUUCUACAGACAUUUUCCCCACAUUUGACAAGGAAGAAACGGAUCCAGAGAGAGACUGAGGGGUGUACCCACAGACCACAUAGCUAGUGAACCAUCUUUAUGAAGCUCCCCAACCUUUCCUGGUAUUAAGAUAAGAGGUCCUGUUUCUGUGGUGUAUCAUUCGUCUCUCCUGGCUGAUGAAGAUUUUGUCUAGAGAGCUUAGAUAUCAGCUCUGGGGCCAACCUUAUAUUCAAGUGAGGGGUGUGGUCAUCUCUGGAGGGCACAAAACUUGAAGGACACAAGAAAGUCCUAAUUCCCUAUGGAAACUCAAUGGUUCUACUAAAAUCCCAUCAUAUUUUAGAGGUUAGGAAUUUCAGAAGACUGCUAUUUCUGAAGGGAAUAAUAACUCGUAUGGAUCUGGCUUGCAAAACACUGAUGUUGAAGAAUGUCGCCCACCUCCUGAAAGAGAGUGAUGGAGGAAAUAUGCAGAACAAAGCAUACAUUUUUGGACAUAGCCAGUGUCCUUUUGUUUUGAUUGACUAUACAUAUUUAAAAUAUUUUUGUUCAAUGAGGAUGAAAUAAAAACUUCCAAGUGAAUUUUAUUAUCUUUUCUAGCUCAGUAAGAUAAUUUUUGGUAAUCUGUUUGGGAUGGCAUUGGAAAAGUCGAUUAGUUUAGGUAGGAUUGUCAUUUUAAUUAUAUUGACUCU
Molecule: long non-coding RNA, 833 nt
Filed under: Monodelphis domestica (gray short-tailed opossum)
Lineage: Eukaryota; Metazoa; Chordata; Mammalia; Didelphimorphia; Didelphidae
Description: lncRNA (ENSMODG00000048421.1)
Source: RNAcentral